GAUUAAGAACGCAGCGAAAUGCGAUAAGUAAUGUGAAUUGCAGAAUUCAGUGAAUCAUCGAAUCUUUGAACGCACAUUGCGCCCGCCAGUAUUCUGGCGGGCAUGCCUGUCUGAGCGUCAUUUCAACCCUCAAGCAACUUCUGCUUGGUGUUGGGGAUCGGCCGUCAAACGCCGCCCCCGAAAUCUAUUGGCGAUCUCGCUGUAGCUUCCUAUGCGUAGUAGUAACAUCUCGCAUCUGGAGAGCGGCGCGGUCAUGCCGUAAAACACCCAACUUCUCAGGUUGACCUCAGAUCAGGUAGGAAUACCCGCUGAACUUAAGCAUAUCAAUAAGCGGAGGA
Molecule: unclassified non-coding RNA, 338 nt
Filed under: soil metagenome
Description: partial contains 5.8S ribosomal RNA, internal transcribed spacer 2, and large subunit ribosomal RNA
Rfam family: 5.8S ribosomal RNA (bases 1-120)
Source: RNAcentral